CCGCUUGCCUCGCCCAGCGCAGCCCCGGCCGCUGGGCGCACCCGUCCCGUUCGUCCCCGGACGUUGCUCUCUACCCCGGGAACGUCGAGACUGGAGCGCCCGAACUGAGCCACCUUCGCGGACCCCGAGAGCGGCGGCGCGACUCACCGCGGAGGCGCCCGGACGCGUCAAGCCCAGCCCAAUAGGAAGCACCUGAUCCACACUCUUUCUAGCCCCAGGGAUGCUCAGGAAAGCAGCCUUUCUUUAGGGCUGUCAUCUGUUCUGGGGAUCUGUUGCUGUUUCUUGGGCCCACAGAAUACACUCCACACCUCGGGACUCUAUAAUAUUGGACAAGGCUGGAAGGCCCAUUUGGCUCCUGCAGCCUCUUAUGCAGGUGAGGACAGACCCAAGGUCCAGGCAAUGCUGGCCUUUGGAACACAGAACCUGGCUCACUGACUCCCACUCCAGUUGUCUUUUCCCUCUGCCUCUGGAGCAACCCUCUCUCCUCCGGAGCAACCCCUGUCCCUCCUUCCUACCUCUCUCUAGGGCUGCACCCCCAGCUCACCUUAGACCUGGCCCUUCCUACCUGUUGCCCCUACUGUCUUGUCCCAUCCCAGUGGUCAGGAGGGAGAGUACUGGCCAAAGGCCCAGCUCCACCUGUGACUUAGGGGAGCGCCAGGCAUCACCCAGAGGUCCCGGCCCUCGGGGGCCUGGCAGGCUCUGCUGUGGGGGAAGCAGAGUUAGAACUGGGGCUGCUUCUCCUGUCCCCCAGCCUGGCUGGGCCUCCCCCACCUCCCUUUCUGCCUGCCCUCUUACAACUCCAGCAGGGGGCGGGCAGGGGAAAGAAAAGGAGGGACAAGUUGGAUGGGGUCCAUUUGGUGUCCAGGAACAACUUGGAGAGAGGCGGGGAGGGGACAGGCAGCAGGGCCCUGGCAGAGCCAGGGGAGGGCUGGCCUUUGGAUGGCCUUCUGAUCCCAAGCCCAUCCUCCUGGGGCAGUCUUCCCUUGAAAGGGAGGGUUUGGUGAACCCUGGUGCGGACCCCCCCGCCGGACCUCACUGCCCCAGUGUGGGGCGUGGUAGGCGGGUUUGCAAUGGGUACAGCCUCUCUCUCCAUUCCAGUAGAGCAGCUCCCAGGGCCCAGAGAGGCUGUCACUGAGACUUCCCUCUGGGGUGGGGUGGGUUCUGGUGGCCCUGUGUUCCCCUGCAGGAGGACCUCCUGAGGCUUCGAGCAGGAGCUGGUGCACACCUGGAGGAGAGUGCUGGUGAAUGGCAGGUGUGUGCCUCAGUGUCCUUGCUGCCUGGGUGUCAGCCCUGCUUCACCACUGGCCCUUUGUCUCUGUCCCCUCCACUGGCCUGUUGAAGCACAGAGACCCUCCGGGUACUUUCCUUCCUCUGGGCUUCCACUCAUGCUAUUCCCUGCUCCCUUCUUCUACCUGGAGACCCCCAUUCCUCCUCCUCCUCUGCUGCCCUCACCUCCACCUGGGCCCUCCCAGCUCCUGGGAGAUGGCUAAACCCCACUCCCCACCCGCUAGUCAUCCUCUUCAGCGGUCCUCCCAGAGCUGUCCUCGGCAUGGCAGCCUCCACAGCCCCUGGGUGUCACCCCCGGUUUCGUGUCUGCCUUGGACUCCAGACCUGCCCCUCCCAGGCUGGCCCAGAUGGAUCCUCUGCAGUGACUAACCCAAACCAGCACCAGGCAGGGACCCAAUAAACCUUCGUGAAUGGA
Molecule: long non-coding RNA, 1702 nt
Filed under: Pan troglodytes (chimpanzee)
Lineage: Eukaryota; Metazoa; Chordata; Mammalia; Primates; Hominidae
Description: lincRNA
Rfam family: mir-1247 microRNA precursor family (bases 31-104)
Source: RNAcentral